GCUGCCUUAAACACAAACGGACUUAAAAUCCGUUGGUGGGCGACCACCGUGCGGGUUCGAGUCCCGCUGUCGGCA
RNAcentral lists this transfer RNA (75 nucleotides) under Roseimicrobium gellanilyticum. Its description in RNAcentral is "tRNA-Leu". It matches the Rfam family "tRNA". Rfam says of the family: Transfer RNA (tRNA) molecules are approximately 80 nucleotides in length. The record is from RNAcentral. Lineage: Bacteria; Pseudomonadati; Verrucomicrobiota; Verrucomicrobiia; Verrucomicrobiales; Verrucomicrobiaceae.